Long non-coding RNA from Mytilus californianus (California mussel), 1502 nucleotides. RefSeq lists it as uncharacterized. The transcript is spliced from 3 exons. The record is from RefSeq and is a predicted model, not a curated record. Lineage: Eukaryota; Metazoa; Mollusca; Bivalvia; Mytilida; Mytilidae.
UUAACAUAUUAUGUCCUUAUAAUCUACAAAGUUUCAUGAAAUUCUGUUGUGUAGUUUCAGAGGAGUUGCGAUGACAAACUGUUGCAGUAGUAUAUUGAGGCCAAUAAAUGCAAAGGGGCAUAACUCCUACAAAUAAACUGCUUUGCUGAGCGCAGCUGGAUACGCCCGCAGAGGUCCAACCCUGAACAGUUGGGGCAAAAAUGAACACAAUAUUCAAGCUUGAUACAGGUCUGAAUUUGGAUUGUAUUAAAUAUUUGACAUAAUAUAGGUUUUUGAAUAAAUGUAGUCAAAGAACUUGAAAUUGGUUAUAUGAAUUGAAUUUAUAUUCAAUUAAAGAUUUCUUGCUGUUGUGCAAUACACUGUGCUGUUGCGCAAUACUUAGUAAAUCUGUUGUCAGACUAUAAACAAAUAAAGUUCAAUUAAUUCUCAAUGACAUAUUAGAAAUUUAUGAAAGUGUAAAGGGAGCUUACAUCAAUAGAUAUAAACAAUUCACCAAAGUUUCAUGAGAAUUGCUGACAGCAUUUUUGAGUUAUUGUCCGAAAACUGGAAAAUCCCCCUUUUUUAAUGAAUAAAACCCCAUAACUCAGAAAUGUAAAAUGUAAAAUUUAUAAAAUGUUAAACGGAGCUUACAUUAAUAGAUAUAAACAAUUCACCAAAGUUUCAUAAGAACUGCUGAAAGUAUUUUUGAUUUUUUGUACGAAAACUGGAAAAUCCCCCUUUUUCUAUGAAUAUUUCUAUGAGCUCAUGUCAAUAGGUCAAUAGAUAUAAACAAUUCACCACAAUUUCUUGCAAGUUGGUGAAAGCAUUCUUGAGUUAUUGUCCGGAAACUGGAAAAUCCCCCUUUUUUUAAUGAAUAAAACCCGAUAACUAGGAAACGUAAAAUCUAAAAUUUAUAAAAAACAAAAGGGAGCUCACGUCAAUAGAUAUAAAAAAUUCACCAAAGUUUUAUGCAAAUUGGUUAAAGCGUUUUUGAGUUAAUGUCUGACAUGUUGACGACGGACGGACAGACGGACGGACGGACGGACGGACAGACGGACAACGGUAUACCAUAAUACGUCCCGUAAACGGGCGUAUAAAAAGUAACAGACUUGCACGAAAAAAUGUAAAAAAUAAACGUUUCAAGGUCAAUAACUCGUUAAGGAGUCAAUCGACUAUUUUGAUCAUUUGACUUAUUCGUAGAUCCUACUUAGCUGAACAUAUUUGACAUUCACACUUUCUCUCUAUCUAUUAUAAUAUCAAAGAUAAUAACCAAUAAACUGCUUCGCCUAGCGCAGCUGGAUACGACCGCAGAGGACUAACCCUGAACAGUUGGGGCAAAAAUGGACACAAUAUUCGCGCUUGAUACAGGUCUGAAUUUGGAUUGUAAUUAAAUUUUUGACACAUAAUAGGUUUCUGACACAGAAUAACUGUAGUCAAAGAACUUCAAAUUGGUUAUAUGAUUUGAAUUUAUAUUCAAUUUUUGGCUUUGUGCAAUACACUAUGCUGUUGCGAAUUGACCCCCC